This is a long non-coding RNA of Larimichthys crocea (large yellow croaker), 150 nucleotides long. RefSeq lists it as uncharacterized. The transcript is spliced from 3 exons. The record is from RefSeq and is a predicted model, not a curated record. Lineage: Eukaryota; Metazoa; Chordata; Actinopteri; Sciaenidae.
AUCAGGGUCCAGUUGGUCCAUCAGGUCCCCACGGUCCCCCUGGCCCCACGGGUCUGUCUGGUGCUACUGGUCCAAAGGGCUCUAAAGGAAACCUGGGUCCGAUUGGUCCCAGAGGAGAUAUUGGGCCUGCAGGACCUCCAGGACCACCAG